GGGCGCGUGGUGAAAUCGGUAGACACAGCGGGCUUAAACCCUGCCGCCUAAGAGCAUGAGGGUUCGACCCCCUCCGCGCCCA
RNAcentral lists this transfer RNA (82 nucleotides) under Actinomycetota bacterium. Its description in RNAcentral is "tRNA-Leu". It matches the Rfam family "tRNA". Rfam says of the family: Transfer RNA (tRNA) molecules are approximately 80 nucleotides in length. Their secondary structure includes four short double-helical elements and three loops (D, anti-codon, and T loops). The record is from RNAcentral. Lineage: Bacteria; Bacillati; Actinomycetota.